AGCUCUUUGUUGAGAACAUUUUUGGAGAAGGAUCUGGCCAAUGUUUGGCCGGUAAACUUGUGGAAUCGUGCACGACCACAGUGCGCUACUUGCAGGAAGAAAUGAAGAAAAUGCAGCAUUCGUUGAACGAGAAAAUUCAAGAACUGCUGAAGAACGGACAGCAGCGGGACAAAGAAAUUGAGGAGCUACAAUCAUACGUGACAACUUUAAGGAAUGACGUGAAUCAGCAACAGUCAGAUUUACAAG
Molecule: long non-coding RNA, 246 nt
Organism: Corticium candelabrum
Lineage: Eukaryota; Metazoa; Porifera; Homoscleromorpha; Homosclerophorida; Plakinidae
Exons: 4
Source: RefSeq, a predicted model, not a curated record